RNAcentral lists this ribosomal RNA (497 nucleotides) under uncultured bacterium. Its description in RNAcentral is "partial 16S ribosomal RNA". It matches the Rfam family "Bacterial small subunit ribosomal RNA", at positions 28 to 507 of the family's 1533-position model. The record is from RNAcentral.
GACGAACGCUGGCGGCGUGCCUAAUACAUGCAAGUUGAGCGAUGAAGCUUGGUGCUUGCGCCAAUUUGAAGAGCAGCGAACGGGUGAGUAACGCGUGGGGCAUCUGCCUUUUAGUGGGGGACAACAUUUGGAAACGAAUGCUAAUACCGCAUAACAACUUUAAACAUAAGUUUUAAGUUUGAAAGAUGCAAUUGCAUCACUAAAAGAUGAUCCCGCGUUGUAUUAGCUAGUUGGUGAGGUAAAGGCUCAACAAGGCGAAGAUACAUAGCCGACCUGAGAGGGUGAUCGACCACAAUGGGACUGAGACACGGCUCCAGCUCCUUCGGGAAGCAGCAGGAGGGAAACUUCGGCAAUGGGCGACAGUCUGACCGAGCAACGCCGCGGGAGGUAAAAAGGGUUUCGGAUCGGAAAACUCUGUUUGUAGGGAAGAAAGUUGGUGAGAGUGGAAAGCUCAUGAAGUGACGGUAACUACCCAGAAAGGAACGGCUAACUACGUG